RNAcentral lists this ribosomal RNA (278 nucleotides) under uncultured bacterium. Its description in RNAcentral is "partial 16S ribosomal RNA". It matches the Rfam family "Bacterial small subunit ribosomal RNA", at positions 29 to 334 of the family's 1533-position model. The record is from RNAcentral.
AACGAACGCGGGCGGCAGGCUUAACACAUGCAAGUCGAACGAUCUCUUCGGAGAUAGUGGCAGACGGGUGAGUAACACGUGGGAAUCUACCUAGUUCUUCGGGAUAACUGAGGGAAACUUCAGCUAAUACCGGAUACGCCCUUUUGGGGAAAGAUUUAUCGGAAUUAGAUGAGCCCGCGUUGGAUUAGCUAGUUGGUGAGGUAAUGGCUCACCAAGGCGACGAUCCAUAGCUGGUCUGAGAGGAUGAUCAGCCACACUGGGACUGAGACACGGCCCAG